RNAcentral lists this ribosomal RNA (119 nucleotides) under uncultured Microsporidia. RNAcentral describes it as "partial small subunit ribosomal RNA". It matches the Rfam family "Microsporidia small subunit ribosomal RNA", at positions 24 to 146 of the family's 1311-position model. The record is from RNAcentral. Lineage: Eukaryota; Fungi; Microsporidia.
AUAGAUGCUCGUCUCGGAGAUUAAGCCAUGCAUGCCCGUGAAGAUGGGAACGGCGAACGGCUCAGUAAUACUGCGACGAUCUGCCCCUCGCGCGGCGUAACUGCGGGAAACUGCGGCUA